GAUAACGAACGAGACCUUAACCUGCUAAAUAGCCAGGCCCGCUUUGGCGGGUCGCCGGCUUCUUAGAGGGACUAUCGGCUCAAGCCGAUGGAAGUUUGAGGCAAUAACAGGUCUGUGACGCCCUUAGAUGUUCUGGGCCGCACGCGCGCUACACUGACAGAGCCAACGAGUUCAUUUCCUUAGCCGAAAGGUUUGGGUAAUCUUGUUAAACUCUGUCGUGCUGGGGAUAGAGCAUUGCAAUUAUUGCUCUUCAACGAGGAAUGCCUAGUAAGCGCAUGUCAUCAGCAUGCGUUGAUUACGUCCCUGCCCUUUGUACACACCGCCCGUCGCUACUACCGAUUGAAUGGCUC
Molecule: ribosomal RNA, 350 nt
Filed under: uncultured Cladosporium
Lineage: Eukaryota; Fungi; Ascomycota; Dothideomycetes; Cladosporiales; Cladosporiaceae
Description: SSU rRNA
Rfam family: Eukaryotic small subunit ribosomal RNA
Source: RNAcentral